GGGGCAGGUACCACAGCACUCGGCCUCUGGCUGUCGUCCGCUGCCUCUCCGUGCUGCCGGCGGAGCCCAGGGCAAAACUCAGAGGAAGGGCCCAUUUCUUGCACUUAAUACCCAUCAAGUGUUUGUCUGACUCUGCAGCAUGAGAACUCUGGAAUUAUGCCUUGUAAUUCAGGAACUUCAAGGAGCAAGGCCGCAUCCCAGCGCGGAGAACGUGUGUGUUCACUGCAAGAGAGGAAAAGCUGAUUGCAUUAGGGGCUUGCUCUACUUCCUAUCUUACGUCUAGAGACCGUGGUUAGUGCAAGCACAAAUGCUGGGCUGAAAAAGGGUCCUGGAUCAAAAAGUUGCCUUGACUGUUUUAAUGGCUGUUCUGGUUCUUUUCCUUCUAAUUACUUGCCAGUGCCAGAGUGAGUUGUUCUUGUACAGUCAGCACUGCAGAUUCUUUGGAGACCCCAAAACAGUUGAAUAAAAGCUAGUAAAUCUAACAAGUUGCUCAGUGAGCAGUGGAACUUGUGAAGCCAGGCUUCCUGUGCCUCUCCAGUGUGGAUGCUUUGGUGUCUAAUAACAUCAGUGUCUCUGAAGUGGUUGCACAUGUGGAUUCUCUGAUGGCUGAUAAGAGAGCCACAACUGGCAACAAAGACACUCUGAUUCUGGUUUGGAUGUCAUGUUUCUGGACCUCUGUGGAGUUUCAGGACUUGCAUCUUGAAUGGCCAGGAAGAUCUGAAGUCCCUGCUAUUAUUUCUUGUUCGCUAUCCCUGUUACUGUCAGUUAUCAUCCUUAUUCCUACCGUUGUUGAAGCUGCAGAAACCUAGAAGAGGAAGACAAGCUCUCCCUGCAAAGAGCUGGUCAUGCCCACUUUACGUUAUAUUCAUGUUAUGACUAUCAGCAUACUGCUUUCAUUCUCCUAACUCUGCACUAUGCUAUGGGAUGUAGCUAAGGAAGGACUUAUGCUCAAAAUAGUAUUUUGAGAAGUGUUACUUCAGGUAGAAAAAAAUUACAAACUAUGAGCACACGGAUUUCCCCUUCCAUAGGCAGUAUAACUGUGAUUACUGUUGGGCAAGUAGUUCUGGAGUUAGAAAUCAGGAAACCUGACAAUGUCAUGGUUGGUAAUCAUCUGACAACUGACCACUGUUCUGCUUAGUGCCAACUGGCAAACACCUACCAUAACCAGUGCAAUGGAAAAACACAGCAAUGCAAUGUCCAGCAAUACCUACAUUAUUCCUCAUAUUCCUGCUUUAGCCUUUUACUGAAAAUUUAGUUACGGUCUUAAUUACUCUUCUGUAGUCUAUGUGCUGCAGAAAUACACUGGAAUUGAUUAAAAUGCCUAUAAUUUUUGCCCAAGGUAAACGACUUAAGUCAUUGAUUUGAAGCAGGAUUUCAUUUCGAUUAUACCACAGUCACUGGACUCUUGAACUGCUUCAGUUCCCUGCUUGCUUCCAGGAGACUUUCUUUUUUAAUAUGCUCAGUCUCUGCUCCUCAGCCAUCUGGUUUACAGCUCUUCAGCAUUUUCAUCCCAAUCCCCUUCAUAUGCAAGCCCAGAUUACAGAAGUUUGUUCCAGCUCCAGAUAAGUAGUAGCUGGAUUUUUCUGUCCCAGUUGCCAAAACUGCCACUGUCCAUCAGAGGGAACACAGUCCAGCUACGCAUCGCAACCUACAGGGCCUUGAGGUGCUUGUCCUGUAGCCCUUAUUUUGGUGAGUCAUGUGUACAGAAAUGAAUAUUGAUCAAGGGUAAAUAUCCCACGCU
Long non-coding RNA from Chroicocephalus ridibundus (black-headed gull), 1741 nucleotides. RefSeq lists it as uncharacterized. The record is from RefSeq and is a predicted model, not a curated record. The transcript is spliced from 5 exons. NCBI's taxonomy places the organism in Eukaryota, Metazoa, Chordata, Aves, Charadriiformes, Laridae.